CAGCAGUCGCCGCGGGAAUACGUAGGUGGCAAGCGUUGUCCGGAAUUAUUGGGCGUAAAGGGCUCGCAGGCGGUUUCUUAAGUCUGAUGUGAAAGCCCCCGGCUCAACCGGGGAGGGUCAUUGGAAACUGGGAAACUUGAGUGCAGAAGAGGAGAGUGGAAUUCCACGUGUAGCGGUGAAAUGCGUAGAGAUGUGGAGGAACACCAGUGGCGAAGGCGACUCUCUGGUCUGUAACUGACGCUGAGGAGCGAAAGCGUGGGGAGCGAACAGGAUUAGAUACCCCAGUAGUCCCUGUCUCUUAUAC
Molecule: ribosomal RNA, 304 nt
Filed under: uncultured bacterium
Lineage: Bacteria
Description: partial 16S ribosomal RNA
Rfam family: Bacterial small subunit ribosomal RNA
Source: RNAcentral